RNAcentral lists this long non-coding RNA (397 nucleotides) under Rattus norvegicus (Norway rat). RNAcentral describes it as "long non-coding RNA NONRATT004697". Lineage: Eukaryota; Metazoa; Chordata; Mammalia; Rodentia; Muridae. The record is from RNAcentral.
UGGCUUGGCUUUUCUCUUUAAGGAAGUCUAGGAAAGGUGCCCUGGACCAGGGGCCAUUUUACAAUAACCUGGGGGCACCUGCCAGCUACCCAGAUCACUCCCGCUCUCCAACCUGCACACAGACACCACUUGACCUUUCCAAUGUGGAAUUCCUUCCAAGUUAUGGAGAAUUCUCAUGGCCUGUACCAGUGUCAGGAAUCCCUCAGACACUUGGAGAUGGACCUGCAGGAGGGUUCCAGAGAGAAGAGAUAUUCAGGAGUACAGCAGAGAUCCCACACGUAAUGACUGGCCCUGUUCUACCUCCGUGGAAGUGUACAGGCUGGUGCCUCUCACUGCCCUCUGGUGUGGACAGUCUGCUUGUCCACUCUGUCUUCUGAGUAACAAAUCUGAACAUGAU